Molecule: non-coding RNA, 1558 nt
Organism: Pelodiscus sinensis (Chinese soft-shelled turtle)
Lineage: Eukaryota; Metazoa; Chordata; Testudines; Trionychidae
Source: RefSeq, a predicted model, not a curated record
GGAAGCAAGAAGCUCCCUGGAAGAGAGCAGGGCUGGGGAGGCUUUUGGGCCUAGCAAAGCCAGGCUACCAGGCCUUAGGGGCUGCGAGAGGCAGCCACGACGGGCGGGGCUGCACGAGGCAGUCAUGAAAGGCCGGGCUGCAAGAGGCGGAUGCAGUAGGCUGGGGAAACUGGGGCCAGGGAAGCCCCAGGCCGUAAGGCCUGAAGGCAGAGUUGCAAGAGGCAACUUGGUAGGCAGAGGUAGCAGGUCCACACCCUUUGCCAGGGAGGAGUGGCCUGUAGGGAUUACAGUCUGCCCGGAGACAGGGGCUAGAGAGGGACUGGCAGUGGGUCACUGAGGCCUGGAGGGUGCAAGGGAACUAGGUGUUCCUGGAGAGAGCUGGGUGUUCCCUGGUAGAAUAACUGGGGAUCCUAGGGAGUAGGGAAGACCCUGAAGUAGUGAAGGAAGAACAACGACACCCCAGAAGGGGGUGCAGACAAAGACCUGAGUAGGCACUGCCGGAGGGCAGUACCCUGAAGGCAACGCUGUACCGAUAGAGGACAUGGGGGAAGACCCCAGAGGAAAGGGGCACGUCGGAACAGCCAGCUAAUUCCCCAACAUCACCUUGCUGAACGCACCACGCUGGUGAGUCAACCCCAUUACAAGGGAGUAAUAGGUACCAAGGGCUGGGCAGGAGCUCUGGUUGGAAGGUCUGCAGCUCCCUCUUGUGGCUGAAGAAUUUGCCGUCAGCUUUUUUCCUGUUUCUGAAGAAAGCGGCAAGCACCUUGCCCUGCGUCACAUCAUCGCUAGGGGACAUAGAGUGGUGCAGAGCGAGCACUGUGUUCCCACUGCAAGGCAGAGCCCUGGAUCUUACUCCCGUUUGGGCUGGUCAAGGCAGCGGAUUCAGGAGGAAUAGAACUGGACCUCGCAAGGUGCAGUGAUCAGGGAGGAACCAUAUUAUGAAUAAGGAUUCUGGCUUGUAAUUUCCGCCAAUAAAAUAAUAAAUGUAAUUUUCAGAAACCCAUUCAGACAUAGCUACUAGCAAAAACAGAAAAUGGAAAGGCUUUCACUUCUCAGUGUUGCCAACUCACAAUAUUUAGUAUUUUUCUCAAAUCACAAACCUUUAGGAGUUACGUGAUUAAGAAGUCUUACUUUUUGUUUAAAAAAAAAAAGUUUAAAGCCUCAUAAUUACAGAUGGAAGCUUAAAAGUGAACACAAGCAGUUUAAAAAAACAAGGCAAAUAAAUAAACUCCACAAUUUUAAAAAGUCAGUAUCAAGUCUUACGAUGACAUGACUUUUUAAUGUUUGGAGUUAGUGUUACUGCUGCCAAUUCAAACUGCUUGAGUAAAACAUAGCUGCUAAGGCUGUAUGCAAAUGAACUAGAUUUUAUGCAAAUGAACUAAUGCUAUGUAUACAUAUUUGAUUAACACACUCUGCUCAUUUGCAUAACACUACUGCUAUCAAAUCAGAGUUGCCUGUUUCACUCCCCUCCCAGACUCCCAAAUUUUUCCUCCAUAAGUUUCCCCAGCCUUUUACUUCCUCUUCCCAACCUGACUGUUGUGCAGGGUUUCUUGCUUCA